Molecule: ribosomal RNA, 441 nt
Filed under: uncultured bacterium
Lineage: Bacteria
Description: partial 16S ribosomal RNA
Rfam family: Bacterial small subunit ribosomal RNA
Source: RNAcentral
CCUACGGGGAGCAGCAGUGGGGAAUAUUACGCAAUGGGGGAAACCCUGACGCAGCAACGCCGCGUGAGUGAAGAAGUAUCUCGGUAUGUAAAGCUCUAUCAGCGGGGAAGAAGGAAGACGGUACCCGACUUAGAAGCCCCGGCUAACUACGUGCCAGCAGCCGCGGUAAUACGGAGGGGGCAAGCGUUAUCCGGAUUUACUGGGUGUAAAGGGCGUGUAGGCGGGACUGUAAGUCAGAUGUGAAAACCACGGGCUCAACCUGUGGCCUGCAUUUGAAACUGUGGUACUUGAGUACUGGAGAGGCAGGCGGAAUUCCUAGUGUAGCGGUGAAAUGCGUAGAUAUUAGGAGGAACACCAGUGGCGAAGGCGGUCUGCUGGACAGCAACUGACGCUGAGGCGCGAAAGCGUGGGGAGCAAACAGGAUUAGAUACCCCAGUAGUC